RNAcentral lists this transfer RNA (62 nucleotides) under Bostrichoidea sp. 5 KM-2017. Its description in RNAcentral is "tRNA-His". Lineage: Eukaryota; Metazoa; Arthropoda; Insecta; Coleoptera. The record is from RNAcentral.
GCUUAAUUAGUUUAAUUUAAAAUAUUGAUUUGUGGGGUCAGAGAUACUUUAUGUUUUAAGCA